This 1049-nucleotide ribosomal RNA is filed under the name Cytobacillus oceanisediminis. Its description in RNAcentral is "Bacillus oceanisediminis partial 16S ribosomal RNA". It matches the Rfam family "Bacterial small subunit ribosomal RNA", at positions 38 to 1065 of the family's 1533-position model. The record is from RNAcentral. Lineage: Bacteria; Bacillati; Bacillota; Bacilli; Caryophanales; Bacillaceae.
GGCGGCGUGCUAUAAUGCAAGUCGAGCGGACUGAUGGGAGCUUGCUCCCUGAAGUCAGCGGCGGACGGGUGAGUAACACGUGGGCAACCUGCCUGUAAGACUGGGAUAACUCCGGGAAACCGGGGCUAAUACCGGAUAACUCUUUCCCUCACAUGAGGGAAAGCUGAAAGAUGGUUUCGGCUAUCACUUACAGAUGGGCCCGCGGCGCAUUAACUAGUUGGUGAGGUAACGGCUCCCCAAGGGGACGAUGCGUAACCGACCUGAAAGGGUGAUCGGCCCCCCUGGGACUGAAACCCGGCCCAAACUCCUACGGGAGGCAGCAGUAGGGAAUCUUCCGCAAUGGACGAAAGUCUGACGGAACAACGCCGCGUGAGUGAUGAAGGUUUUCGGAUCGUAAAACUCUGGUGUCAGGGAAGAACAAGUACCGGAGUAACUGCCGGUACCUUGACGGUACCUGACCAGAAAGCCACGGCUAACUACGUGCCAGCAGCCGCGGUAAUACGUAAGUGGCAAGCGUUGUCCGGAAUUAUUGGGCGUAAAGCGCGCGCAGGCGGUUCCUUAAGUCUGAUGUGAAAGCCCCCGGCUCAACCGGGGAGGGUCAUUGGAAACUGGGGAACUUGAGUGCAGAAAAAAAAAAUGGAAUUCCACGUGUAGCGGUGAAAUGCGUAAAGAUGUGGAGGAACACCAGUGGCGAAGGCGACUCUUUGGUCUGUAACUGACGCUGAAGCGCGAAAGCGUGGGGAGCAAACAGGAUUAGAUACCCUGGUAGUCCACGCCGUAAACGAUGAAUGCUAAGUGGUUAGAGGGUUUCCGCCCUUUAGUGCUGCAGCAAACGCAUUAAGCACUCCGCCCUGGGGGAGUACGGCCGCAAGGCUGAAACUCAAAGGAAAUUGACGGGGGCCCGCACAAGCGGGGGAAACAUGGGGGUUUAAUUCGAAGCAACGCGAAAAACCUUACCAGGUCUUGACUUCCCUGACAACCCAAAAAAAAAGGGGUUCCCCUCCGGGGGAAGGGGGGAAGGGGGGGGGAGGGGGGGCCCCCACCCCGGC